This is a long non-coding RNA of Macaca fascicularis (crab-eating macaque), 1686 nucleotides long. NCBI's taxonomy places the organism in Eukaryota, Metazoa, Chordata, Mammalia, Primates, Cercopithecidae. The record is from Ensembl.
UUUUUUUUUUUGGGACCCCUGGGUAUUUGUUGCAAUCAGAAACAUGGUUUGCCAAAUAAAAUUAGCAGCUACCCUAACUGCACGUGGAUAUUGGAACGACAAUAAGUUAUAUGUAUUAUAUUACUUAGUACUCACUGUUAAUACCCCUGUGGGUGUGGAAAUUGUAUCUUCAGCUGCGGACCCUGAGGUUCAGAGAGGGAAAUUAACUUGUCUAGGGUCAUGGCUGGGUUAGUGGUGGCAAGAAAGCGAUCUGAGCUCUCUCCCCACCUGUUCUUAUGUCCAGCAUCUCGGUUGUGAUGCACGGGGAGGGGUUGCACCCUGAAGAUGCCCUAGUUGUGAGGUCAACCUGAUCCAAAAGAACUUAAAGCUGCCCCUGGCCUGAAGGAGGCAGUGAGUAGUGUCCAGAUGUGAAAAUACAAUGAAAAAGCUGAUUCUCGUCUCUUUUGGAAACAGACUGGCCAUUAUCCAUCUUUGUUAUGGGAUCUACAGUCUUCCUGGACCUACUGAAAAUGCAGGUAUAAACAAAUGCAAAUGGUCUGAGGAUGACCCAGUGUUCUGGAUUCUCCACUCCAUGAAACACUUUUAUUACUGCAGGGAGUCACAGCAUCUGCCAAAGUAAAAAUCUGUCACACAAAGAGGAAUAAAUAUCUGACUAAAUGGGUAAAACAAAAUCAAGCAAACAGGACAUGGUCUCACCAGCCACCUGUAGCUCUCCCAACACACAUGAGAGGAGGCUGAGCAUUUUAUCAUCACUAUGAUCAUAAUCAUUUUAUAAUCACAACCGAAACCUACCAAAUGACAACCAGGCUUCCAGGACAGGCUGUGCACACACUGUCUGAGGGAAACGGGGGGACACCCACAAACUCUACAGCAUUAUCCUGCUAAAGUAGGUCAGAGCAAUGAACUUGAGUACUGUGUGAGUAAUCCACUCUGAUAAGAGUCUAACAUGACUUUAAUGGGUAGAAAGGGAAGUUUAACUUCAACUGCAAGUCCCAGCAACCUCCUCUCUGUGAAGACAUGCUUACCAUUGUGUUAUUUCUCUUUCUUAGGCAUAAAAGUGAAAUUCUGACAUUCUGUUUAAAAGAAAAUAAACAUUUGUUAUCACUUCUAUAGAAUAAUUUUACUUCUGCUGUGGUCAUUAAAGUCUACAUGAAUGGAGAGGGUGCAGAGGGGCAGAGAAAAGUGGAGGACAUUUGUAAGGGCCCAGGUGGGCUGUUUGGAAGGUGUGAGGUACGCGAGGGAGGAGCUAGUGAUUAACGCAUGUGGUCAUCACCUGUCCCUUAUUGCAGCCAAAAUCUGGAGCCGGGCACAGGCACCAGCAUGUUCUCUCUGGUUCCACUAACAGCCCUUGCUCAGGCCCCUCCACAGUCAUUUCUAUUCAAUCUGGGCCAUGUCCCUUUUCCUUUUAACAGUAGAGAGGGGCCGGGCGUGGUGGCUCACACCUGUAAUCCCAACACUUUGGGAGGCCAAGGCAGGCGGAUCACUUGAGGUCAAGAGUUCGAGACCAGCCUGGCCAACAUGGUGAAACCUCAUCUCUACUACAAAUACAAAAAUUAGCUGGGCAUGCCUGUAAUCCCAGCUACUCGGGAGGCUGAGGUGGGAAAAUUACUUGAACCUGGGAGGCAGCAGUUGCAGUGAACCAAGAUCAUACCUCUGCACUCCAGCCUGGCCCACAGAGUGAGACUC